UACGUAGGGUGCAGGCGUUAAUCGGAAUUACUGGGCGUAAAGCGUGCGCAGGCGGUCUUGCAAGACAGAUGUGAAAUCCCCGGGCUUAACCUGGGAACUGCAUUUGUGACUGCAAGGCUGGAGUACGGCAGAGGGGGAUGGAAUUCCGCGUGUAGCAGUGAAACGCGUAGAUAUGCGGAGGAACACCGAUGGCGAAGGCAAUCCCCUGGGCCUGUACUGACGCUCAUGCACGAAAGCGUGGGGAGCAAACAUG
This 253-nucleotide ribosomal RNA is filed under the name uncultured bacterium. RNAcentral describes it as "partial 16S ribosomal RNA". It matches the Rfam family "Bacterial small subunit ribosomal RNA", at positions 524 to 776 of the family's 1533-position model. The record is from RNAcentral.